Molecule: long non-coding RNA, 4715 nt
Filed under: Canis lupus familiaris (dog)
Lineage: Eukaryota; Metazoa; Chordata; Mammalia; Carnivora; Canidae
Description: lncRNA (ENSCAFG00000051095.1)
Source: RNAcentral
UUUUUUUUUUUUUUUGUAAAUUUAUUUUUUAUUGGUGUUCAAUUUGCCAACAGAUAGAAUAACACCCAGUGCUCAUCCCAUCUUUGUAUUAGGAUUUUGAUAAAAGGCAGAUUGAUGGAACAUGAUAGCUUAUUCACUUGCUAUAAGCCACAAGAAUUCUGAGCGUUAGGAAACUCAGUUUUUUUUAUUUUUUAUCAAAUUUUUAUUUAUUCUUAUUAUUCUUAAGGGAAAAGGGACAUUACACAAAAGUUAUCUACUUGAAACACUACCAGAAUUUAGUGACUCAAACUUUACAGAGUUGAUCAUAAAGUAGAUGAUCAAUACACUCUUAAGAUUGAUCUCAUAACCAUAUAACCAUAACUAUAUCUCAUUCCACAUGGUACGAGCUUUGUUAAAGGAGAUCACAGAGUCCCAAAGAAGGCUUGAAAAGGACUCUUGAACUCAAACUAGGGACGGGGGAAAAUAAAUUGUGGACCAUUUCCCAGAGUAAACAUUUUCAAAGGUGGGCAAAUGAUAUGACAUCAGAGGAGGAGGGUUAUAAGACUGAACAGCUCCCAGCUAUCUUGGGAAAGAUAAUGGCAUUGAUAUAGCUAAAAAUAAUACUCCCCAUUUCUGAAACAUAAAACCACAUAGGUGGUUUCCAUAACAUAUCUUAGAUAACUACCAUACUUAUACCUUAUAUUUAUGCUUGUGAUAGCAUAUUCUUAAUGGUUUGCAAUUUUUUUAUCUUUUCCCCAACUUCCGGAAUCCAAACAGAGAUUGUGAAAUAGAAACAUGAUCAUUGAAAAUCACUCAGAGAAUUCAUCCCCUUGGCUACUAUUCUCAAUGAAAACAGGAGAGCAGACAAGCAAGGAGCCCAUAUUUUCUGGAUGACCAAUAUAAACUACCUCUGCUUUGGUGAUUUUACACAAUAUAACUGAUGUUGAGGCAUGCAACUUGAAGCACAUUAGGUCAGCUGUCCCUUGGCUGGCACACCAACCACUGCCCUAGAAAUGAUGAAUAAGCAUUGUUCACAAUCAGAUUACUAUCACAGUUUGCCAAAGAGCAUUCCUCUCAGGCAAUAAAAUAUGACUUUGUUUUCAGUGUCAGACAUGAUUAAGUUAAAUGUGUGAAGAUUCCUAACCUUAUCGAUUUCCUUGUAUAAUGUUCAUAUUUCUCAUGCGUUUCAACACCUUAUUCAUGCUUAAAAUACAGGGGUACCUUUGAAAAAACAGCUACUGUUUAGGAAUCAAAGCAAAUAUUGGCAGGGAGAUAUCCAGCAAUGCUUCAUGGGAAAAGCAUACACAUAUACACAAAAAGAAAGACUCCUGGUUUUGUCUUUUUCCUCAGAUUUGACUAUGCUAAAUAAACAGACCAUGAAGAUGAACAGAAAGUCAUGCAGCUACAAUAGACCUAUGAAGAAUUUUAGUUAACCUCCUUCAUUUUACAGAUGAGUGAUGGAAGUUCAAUGUAACGUCAUGCCUGCUUCAAAAAUCACAUGGUAAGUGAUAAAAAUCAAAGCUGGAACCCAAGCCUCUUGAUUCUGAAACUAGGUCUCUCACCUGGUCUUAUACAACUUUAAUACCUCCAUUCCUCAGUUUCCUUAUCUGUAAAAUAGAGAGAUAACAGCAUAUAUUUCACAGGGUUGUUGUAGGCAUUGAAUAAUCUUAAUAUGUAUAGAAUUUCUUAGCACAAUGAUUCUCAUGUAAUAAAAUUCAAUAAAUAUUAGCUGCUAUUGUGGUAUAUUCUUAACACAUCCUUUUCUUCAAUAUUUUUAUUAGGAGCUGGCCUCAUGUCAAGUCAGCAAUCAAAUGUAUAGUGUGACUCAUACCCCACCCCACCCUCAAAAAAAGCCCCUUUACCAACUAUGUAUUUUUCACUAAGAUACUUAAAAUCCUUCCCUUAAGGAAUUUUUCUUUGGGUUGAGCAUUAUUUGCUUUCCAAAUACAGUUUUACAGCUGGAUCAUGCUUGGAUUAUUGCACUACUAUCUGUGUAUAUGAAUUUAACAGAUUUUUUUUCUAGUACAAUGUGAAGCAAGACAGAAGGGAGCUUCUAGAGGCCUAGAAUGUGAGAUAAAUAUAUAAGGAGCAAUUCAAAAGGGGGAAGAUGAGAUAGUACUAUAUAGUGAGUCAAUAUAAGGUAAGCAACGGGGACUUCUACAAAGGCAGUGGUCUGAGGCAAGGGUUAAAAUGUUUUACAUGCCUAAGAGACAAAUAUCUCCUUCUGGAAAAGAGAACAAAUGAGAGAUAACAGCCAGCAGGGAGUAAUGGUUAUCUGGGCAAAACGUGAAGCAACAAUUUAGAGCAUGCUUGCACUGUAUUUCUAUUUUCCCAAAACCCUGAAAGAAUGUCAACCAGGGACAAAGGCAUCCUGUGACUGUCUCAUGUCCACUAAAAAGUAAUGACCACAAAAUAAUGACCAUGGGGCUGAAGGAUGCUUCCUCACUCCUACCUCCUCAUCCUUUGGGAAAGUGCCUUUAUAAGGCCUGCAUGCUUCCCGCGCACAUUCUCCUUUCUCGCGGCUCCCUUGUAUACAAGCUAUCUCUAAUAAACCCCAUCUGCUUCAUCUCCCUCAAGCUCUAUGCUCAUUUCUAUGACACUGACUCAAGAACCUGGCCUUGGGGUCCAAUAACAAUACCAGCAACCUUCUCCACACAUGUGAGGUACAUUGCCCUCAUGCUGGACCCUCAUCAGAUCACUGGUGAGUCAAUGGUCAAGUCUAGAAGGAAUUUGGAGGAAAAAAAAUGUUGGAAAGCAAAAUCUCUAGAUGAGGGAGGAAUGGGAUUAAAGGAAUUUAGAAAUCAUUUACUAAGAGAGUAAGUUGAAGAACUGAUGUAUAUUGCAGGGCAGGUAGGAGUUGGGGGUACAAACAGGGGAGAGGGAGCCAGGAUAGAUUUGACUCCCCCUCCCUCAAAUGUAGGAAGGAUUAUUCCAUAAAGCCACCAUGAAUCCUUUCUGAACACCAGGGAAGUUAUUCACUUCUUCCUCUAAAUUCUCUACAGUUUUUCUUUGCUAACAUUUAUUACAAUAAAAUCUGAUUGUCUUUUUUUUGUCUUAUUAGAUUUUAAGCUCCCUGAAAGCUGGAACUAUGUCUUUCUGACCUUUGUGUUCUCACUUUGAAAACAACACUUGGCAUAUAAACCUGAUUGUUGAGCGAGAGGGGAAAAAAAAAAAAAGAAACAACUCUGCUCUGCAUAAUAUCAAAGAGCAGAACUAACACCAUGGGUACAAUUCUCAGAGAAAGAUUUCAACUGCAUAGCAGGAAAACCUCUCUAAUGUUUAGAUUUAUGCAUCAGUUUAUUUAGCAGUUCAUGGAGAAAGGAACAUUGUGGCUCUCCUGUAAGGAAUGUAGGAUCCUGCACUUGGCUGAAAGGUUGCAUUAAUGAUCAUUAAUUAGUUCAGGCUUUUAACAUUUUAGGACAAAUUAGUCCCUAAUUUGCCUCCCUGACAUUUUAUUCUCUCUCUGAUCCAUCUCCAUAUUUCUUUAAAAAUUAUUUUGCAAAAGAAAAAAAAAAACAAAAAACUCAUCACCUAUACUACUUGAAAAACCACUCGGUCUCAUUGAAAACAUCAGCAUUUGCUAAAGAACAUUUUUGUAGGAUCUUAAUCCCAUGGUAUGGUACCACUGUAAAAUAAAUUUGCAAAAUGCCACAUUCUAGUCCUCUUAGAGAUUCACAGUGCUCCUUAGCACCUGUUACAGAGACAUUGGUACGUCUCAGAUAAAAGGCAAUCUCAAAUUGGUUCUUUCCAGUCUAAGAUGAUGUUGCCUUUUUAUUUCCCUAUCACCCACAAAGUGCACAUGUUUCUCCUCUACUGUUUUUGAAGCUAAAAUGUUUCCCAGCUGUGAUUCGAGAGGCAGCAUCUCUGGUGAGUUGGAUCAGUGGGGUGUGUGGGGAGAGGGGUGGAUUGGAUGAGCUGGGCAGGGUCUCUGGAAGACAUAUAGUGACACCUGGCAGAUGAACAGGCUGACCACCUGAGGUUGUUGUGACCUCACACCUGGCAAUAUGGAUAAGAACUUGAUGCGAGGACAACUCCCACAAAGCUCAUUGGCAUGCUUUCUUCCAAAAAAUCUAGUCUUUUCCACCCUCCCUCUUCUUUCCACAGAGGCCUUUUACUUUCUUUCUCGUGGUGAAAUGCAUCUCCUUGACACCAAAGCUGGCAUCUGUAAACCACAGUAAAAUAUAAUAAGGGAUUGGUCAGAAACAGGGAAAGUUACCAUAAAUAGAGCUAGCAACACCCGACAGGUGACACUGUUGAGACCCUGCCCAGAUGUCCUUUAUCAAACAGGUGCACACAGCCUUCAGCUACUGUGAGUAUUGGCCACCAAUGGCCCACAGUGGUCCUCUUUUCCAGAGAAUUACCCUCUGAAACCAGAGCCACCUAGCUCCAGAGUUAGGUCCCUCUUUGUUCCUUCCUCCACGUAGUUAAUAACUGACCAACACAAGGCGCACCGGAGUGGUUCAGUGGGUUAAGCAUCUGCCUUCAACUCAGGUCAUGAUCCCAGGGUCUGACUUCUAUAUCUAUAAAAUUAUCUAUAAUCACUUUCAUCUCUAAUUGUUUUUGAUUUCCAUAUCUUUCUCUGUGAUUAGAUCAAGCCUUUCUUCUAUGCCAUGGAUGCUGUUUUCAUCAUUGCAUUAUUUAAUUCUUUAUAUUUUUAACAUGGCCACAUUUUUUGAUAGAUUUAUUUUUCCAUUCCAUCUUUUAAGACUUACCAGCUCUUCCUCUCAAUGUGGUAU